This 228-nucleotide long non-coding RNA is filed under the name Setaria italica (foxtail millet). RNAcentral describes it as "long non-coding RNA (SITA_LNC006443)". Lineage: Eukaryota; Viridiplantae; Streptophyta; Magnoliopsida; Poales; Poaceae. The record is from RNAcentral.
UUCUCUCCUCCUUCAGUUACUAGUUUGUUACUGUAUUUUAUUAGUAGCAAUUAACUCUUUUUCAAAAACACCUAAACUCUGCUCCCUUUUUCUGUUAGUCUGUUAGUGUCUUUUAGCUAGCAGUAACUCUUUUUUUCGUACUCUGUUUUGAAGUUCACCUCACAGUGACAGACAUUCUGUCUAGGUUCGUGCAAGUACGUCCAAGUCUCUUCUGAACUUUUGUUCGAU